Molecule: ribosomal RNA, 394 nt
Filed under: Chlamydomonas sp. MACC 327
Lineage: Eukaryota; Viridiplantae; Chlorophyta; Chlorophyceae; Chlamydomonadales; Chlamydomonadaceae
Description: SSU rRNA
Rfam family: Eukaryotic small subunit ribosomal RNA
Source: RNAcentral
ACUUAGUUUUGUUGCAGUUUAAAAGCUCGUAGUUGGAUUUCGGGUGGGGUGGUGCGGUCCGCCUCUGGUGUGCACUGCUCCGCUCCACCUUCCUGCCGGGGACGGGCUCCUGGGCUUCACUGUCUGGGACUCGGAGUCGGCGAGGUUACUUUGAGUAAAUUAGAGUGUUCAAAGCAGGCCUACGCUCUGAAUACAUUAGCAUGGAAUAACACGAUAGGACUCUGGCCUAUCUGUUGGUCUGUGGGACUGGAGUAAUGAUUAAGAGGGGUAGUCGGGGGCAUUCGUAUUCCGUUGUCAGAGGUGAAAUUCUUGGAUUUACGGAAGACGAACAUCUGCGAAAGCAUUUGCCAAGGAUACUUUCAUUGAUCAAGAACGAAAGUUGGGGGCUCGAAGA